This 446-nucleotide ribosomal RNA is filed under the name uncultured bacterium. RNAcentral describes it as "bacterial SSU rRNA". It matches the Rfam family "Bacterial small subunit ribosomal RNA", at positions 330 to 792 of the family's 1533-position model. The record is from RNAcentral.
GCCAGACUCCUACGGGAGGCAGCAGUGGGGGAUAUUGCACAAUGGGGGAAACCCUGAUGCAGCGACACCGCGUGGGUGAGGAAGCGCUUCGGCGUGUAAAGCCCUAUCAGUGGGGAAGAAAAAGGACGGUACCCAAAGAAGAAGCACCGGCUAAAUACGUGCCAGCAGCCGCGGUAAUACGUAGGGGGCAAGCGUUAUCCGGAUUCACUGGGUGUAAAGGGAGCGUAGACGGCGGCGCAAGUCUGGAGUGAAAGCCCGGGGCCCAACCCCGGGACUGCUCUGGAAACUGCGGCGCUGGAGUACGGGAGGGGCAGGCGGAAUUCCUGGUGUAGCGGUGAAAUGCGUAGAUAUUAGGAAGAACACCAGUGGCGAAGGCGGAUGACUGGACGACAACUGACGGUGAGGCGCGAAAGCGUGGGGAGCAAACAGGAUUAGAUACCCCCGUA